Molecule: long non-coding RNA, 328 nt
Filed under: Oryza brachyantha (malo sina)
Lineage: Eukaryota; Viridiplantae; Streptophyta; Magnoliopsida; Poales; Poaceae
Description: long non-coding RNA (OBRA_LNC001129)
Source: RNAcentral
UGUUGUAGGCCUAGAAUUUUUGAUGCAAUUAAUUUAUGCUCAGCCCAUUUAAUCCCAACCAAAUAGAGAGGCAAUUGGUUAUGGCAGAUUUUUUUUUCACUUUGUGGUACAUAUAUACUAGCUCGAUAUAUUUUUUUUUCCUUUCAAUAUGCAUAUUCCUGCUCAAACAUGCAUCAUAUAUAUCGCCACAUCAGUGGCAUGUUUCUGAUUGCCAUGUCAAUGGAUGAAAUGGAUAUAUAGAAGCAGAUGCAGAUCAGCAACAAAAACGUUAGGAAUUCGAGUAAUCGUUAAAGAAAUAGCUACGAGUUUGUCCAACUCCUUUUCACCU